CAGUCGCCGCGGGAAUACGUAGGUGGCAAGCGUUGUCCGGAAUUAUUGGGCGUAAAGGGCUCGCAGGCGGUUUCUUAAGUCUGAUGUGAAAGCCCCCGGCUCAACCGGGGAGGGUCAUUGGAAACUGGGAAACUUGAGUGCGGAAGAGGAGAGUGGAAUUCCACGUGUAGCGGUGAAAUGCGUAGAGAUGCGGAGGAACACCAGUGGGGAAGGCGACUCUCUGGUCUGUAACUGACGCUGAGGAGCGAAAGCGUGGGGAGCGAACAGGAUUAGAUACCCCGGUAGUCCCUGUCUCUUAUAC
This 301-nucleotide ribosomal RNA is filed under the name uncultured bacterium. RNAcentral describes it as "partial 16S ribosomal RNA". It matches the Rfam family "Bacterial small subunit ribosomal RNA", at positions 509 to 807 of the family's 1533-position model. The record is from RNAcentral.